This is a long non-coding RNA of Felis catus (domestic cat), 2642 nucleotides long. RefSeq lists it as uncharacterized. The transcript is spliced from 8 exons. Lineage: Eukaryota; Metazoa; Chordata; Mammalia; Carnivora; Felidae. The record is from RefSeq and is a predicted model, not a curated record.
GUUCCAAGUGGGGUUGUCAGGUCAGCAAUUCCAUUUCUGUCUGGACCUCAAAAAGAAUUUUAAGUGGAGAUAUAAAUUUGAAUACAUUAUGUGUUCCAGUUACUAUCACUAUGUAAGUUUCCCCAAAAUUAAGGGAAAGGAAGAAUCAUUUGAUUAUGCUCAUGGAAUCAGAAUCAGAACACAGAAAAGGCACAGCAGAGAUGACUUGCCUCUGUUCCAUGAUGUUAAGCCACAGCUGGGAGGACUUGAAGAUAUUUCUAAUGCCCUAGAUUAGAAAGUGCAAGACACUUUUCUAUGCAAUCGAGUCACAGACAGAAAAGUUCCUUCUCUCAGAGAGCUUGUAUUCCUUUGAGGGAAGAUACAUCAUAUACAGCAAAAUCGAGAAUCACCAGGGUCUGCAACCAUACAGAAGACCACUAAGCCUCCUCGGAAUCAUCUGAAGAGACAACACAACUUGGCUCGACUCAGAGACCCAUUGUUGACUUGCCAUGUCAGUGCAGACUCGACAAGCUGGGAGCAGCUCGGCACAAGGGGCCUUUGUGUCUUUUCUAGUGGCGCCUGGUCAAAGGACGGGGCCACAGCAAUGGGCAUUGCAUGCCGUAUCUCAAUGCUCAUGAGAACUAUGGAAAUAAGUGAAGCGCACUCAAAUGAGAACAAGAAGAGGUUCUUUAUUCAGAACUUUCCCUUGCAAAGGGGGUCGGCCACCAUCACUCGUGUUUGGCAGCAGCUCGAAGAGAGGGGGCAGAGCUUUCCAGUGGAAGAAGGAAUGGCCUCAGGUGUCUACUGGCCAGUGAAAUACAGGACAUAAAUGAAAUAUACGACAGUGUUCUGGAGACAAGGAUUUGGAAGUUAUAGUUGUGUAAGUGCCAGUGAAAGCUUGGGGGAUGAUGAUCUCACCAAGUGUUUAUGUCUGCAAUGAGAAAAGAAGACUGAAGUCUGACUCUGCAAGGAAAUACUAGUAAUUAAGAGGCAAGUCAGGAUGAGCCUGUGAAGGAAAGACAUGACCAACUUAUCCAGUGCUCCAAGGUGGCCUGGAGCCAGGUUUCCGGGUUAAGCCAUGAGUCAGCCAACGGUGGCUUCAGUGAAAACAGCUUCAGGUGUCAUAGCCACGUGGAAGAGAAUGGAGAUUUAACACCAGGGGUGGUGAUUGUACAUGUAUAAAAAAAAAAAACCUGCACCCUAUAACCUCUACCCAAGUCCCUUCUUGGAAACCUAGAAAAUAAAACCCAAAUAUAGUUUUACCUGGGCCUUGAGAAGGAAACACAUGUACAAGAAGCCAAAACUCACCUUGCAUCUCUCAGAUAAAGGACUUGCCGUCUAACGUCGACUUUGCUUAAUGGCGCUAAUCUGCUUCAUUAACAAGAAGAUCAGUCCUGCUGGCCAAAGAGGUUAAAUCAGUUUACUUUAAAUGCCAUUGCCCGAAUUUGGACCUGGUCACGUGGAUGAGCCCAAAUCAGGUGCCCGCUUUUGUUGCCCCCAAAUGAGCAAUCUCUUGGUUGGCCUCCAACUGCCUGGAAAUUCAAAUGGUUUUUCUGAAGAUUUGACACUGACUCUAGUAUCAUUUAAUAAUUUUUAUGAACACCUUAACCACAAAAUUGAGAGAAUUAAGCAAUGAAUGAUGCCAGGAUGGCCGGACUGCUAACAUCCCAGAAGAAUGAACUAAAAUUACAAGGGACGGAGCCCAAUUACAUAAACAAUCUACUCAAAACACAGAGAAGCUCAAGAGAAACUUAGAUUAAAAUUAUACAUUCUUACCUGGUUUAUUCCACCUCCUCUUUGUGAAGGAGAAUGAUAAUCAUCGUUUUUAUGACUUAUUGCCAGUGGAUUUAUUUGCUCAUGUUGGUCACAGUCAUAGUGGAUAAUAGUGUGCUUCUAUGUAAAGCACAGAUCAAAUCUUCUGGUCAAAAAUUUGAAGGGCAUUCAGUUAGAGCAAAGCAAAUCAGUAUUAAGUGGUUAAAAUAGGAUGGAAUUCAGCAAAGAGUGGUAGAUAAAUACUAGUGGCCCAAACAAGAUAGCGUUUCUCACUCAUGUAAAAUCUACAAGUGAGUUGCCCGGUACUGGGAUGGCCGCUCUGUGGUGAUGAAACCCAGACCCCUCGUGUCCUGUUGCUCCCCCAACUUCAACCUGUGGCUUCUACUUACAAUCCCGGAUGUCUGCUCAAUUCCCACUCACUAGGUUUACAUUCCAGCUGAAGAAAGAAAGAAAGGAACAGAAGCACACGCCCUCCCUUUUACAUCUUUGACACGCACGCACAUUUGUGUGUGCAUGUUUGUGUGUGUGUGAGAAUACAUAACAAAAUUUAUCAUUCUAACCAUUUUAUGUGAACAGUUCAGUGGCAUAAGUACAAUCACAUUGUUCUCCAACCAUCACCACCAUCCACUACCAUAACUUUUUCAUGUUCCCAAACUGAAAGUCUGUACCCAUUAAUCAAUGAACAUUCCACUUCCUCCUCUUCCCUCAGCCCUUGGUAACCUCUAUUUUGCUUUCUGUCUCCAUGAAUUUGACUACUUUAACGUACCUCACAUAAGUGGAAUCAUACAAUAUCUGUCCUUUUGUGACUGGCUUAUUUCAUUUAGCAUGUCCAUUCAUCUAUUGAGCAAUUGGGGUGCUUCAAUCUUUCUAUUGUAAAUAAUGCUGCUAUA